UGACGAGUUUGAUCCUGGCUCAGAUUGAACGCUGGCGGCAUGCCUUACACAUGCAAGUCGAACGGUAACGGGUUAAGCCGACGAGUGGCGAACGGGUGAGUAAUAUAUCGGAACGUGCCCAGUCGUGGGGGAUAACGUAGAGAAAUUUACGCUAAUACCGCAUACGAUCUAAGGAUGAAAGCGGGGGACCUUCGGGCCUCGCGCGAUUGGAGCGGCUGAUAUCAGAUUAGCUUGUUGGUGAGGUAAAAGCUCACCAAGGCGACGAUCUGUAGCUGGUCUGAGAGGAUGAUCAGCCACACUGGGGACUGAGACACGGCCCAGACUCCUACGGGGAGCAGCAGUGGGGAAUUUUGGACAAUGGGGGCAACCUGAUCCAGCCCAUGCCCGCGUGAGUGAA
Molecule: ribosomal RNA, 397 nt
Filed under: uncultured Polaromonas sp.
Lineage: Bacteria; Pseudomonadati; Pseudomonadota; Betaproteobacteria; Burkholderiales; Comamonadaceae
Description: bacterial SSU rRNA
Rfam family: Bacterial small subunit ribosomal RNA
Source: RNAcentral